AGCUUUGCGCAGUGGCAGUAUUGUAGCCAAUGAGGUUUAUCCGAGGCACGAUUAUUGCUAAUAGAUUCUACAUAUAAGCAAUGUCCUAUGGUAUUUGUCUUUUUCUGAUUUACUUCACUUAGU
This 123-nucleotide small nuclear RNA is filed under the name Cervus hanglu yarkandensis (Yarkand deer). RNAcentral's name for it is "U4 spliceosomal RNA (ENSCHYG00000003031.1)". It matches the Rfam family "U4 spliceosomal RNA". Rfam says of the family: U4 small nuclear RNA (U4 snRNA) is a component of the major U2-dependent spliceosome. The structure of U4 snRNA from yeast and human has been reported. U4 snRNA presents a k-turn RNA motif in the 5p-SL related to recognition of Snu13 protein. The record is from Rfam by way of RNAcentral. Lineage: Eukaryota; Metazoa; Chordata; Mammalia; Artiodactyla; Cervidae.